Molecule: RNA transcript, 1644 nt
Organism: Hevea brasiliensis (rubber tree)
Lineage: Eukaryota; Viridiplantae; Streptophyta; Magnoliopsida; Malpighiales; Euphorbiaceae
Exons: 5
Source: RefSeq, a predicted model, not a curated record
AAUUAUUCCAUGCAUCCGAUAUAUAUACAUUCUUGUUAAUAAUGAUGUGCGCUUGAGCUUUUAUGGUCUAGUCCAAAAUGUUAAGGCUGGAUCAGGAAAAUAAAGCCGAAGCCCGCUUCCGCUUUAGACAUAAACGACGUAGUAUUGUUGACGAAUGGAGCAACGACAGGUCGUUUUGCUUCAGUAAAAAGCAACGACAAGUAGAUUGAUAUGAAUGCUGGGAUUGACAGAACGAAGAAAAUCAGCGGCAGCGAAUGGCGGACUUUGCUAUGAAUCUAAACACAGGCACACACACACACACACACACAGAAUCUUAUAGAACCCUACUGAGAAGGGAAAAAUGGGGGCGAUUUAUCUGUACAGGGGGAAGCUCCACAGAGUCCCUGACAUACCUUGUCGAUGGCUAAUGCCAACCCGUAAAAUCUCUCUCAAAGACUUCAAAUCCCUCUUACACCGCCGCUCUCAGGCCUUCACUCACCUCCGCUCCUCCACCAACGCCGUCGCCAUCACUUCAAAUCAUAACCCGAACGCUGAUAAAAAGGACACCGUGAGUCCAAUUGAACUUAAGUUGGAAGCUGGCGACGCGACUAAUCGUGAAGAGGAGGAGGGGACUUCCAGAAGUUCAGCUUCUAAGGAGGUCAAGGAUCAGAAAGGAUGAGAUUGUGGUGAAUGCUCGGGUAAACCAGAGGGCUUGUCGGAUUUUUCGCUUCCUGAGAAAGGCGAUGAUGAGGCGGUUAAUGCCGAUGGGAAUUUUCAGCCUGAAAAGAUUGAUUUGUCAGCGAAUCAUAAAACGGAGACGUGCAAAGUUGAUGUUGUAAAUGAUAAGGAUAAAAGGAAAAAGGAAGUUGAGGAUAAGUUACUGGUUUUGAACUCGAAGAAGCAUAAUCUUGUACAAGUGCUGAAGCAGAUGAGCUCUUAUCUUACCCUCAUCUUGUGUGGAACAAGAGAUUUUUUUAUCAUGCAUAAUACUCCUCGGAUGGGCUCAGAGGGAAAUCCUGGUGGUGAUAUGGAAAAGGGAGAAACUGAAGAUGUUUCAAAUCCUAGGCUAGGAAUAAGCAGCAGAAAAGGAUCAUCAAUUUUAUUUGCCAAGAAGUUGCUGUGGUUUAGGGACCACUACAUUGCAUCUUCUCCUUCCCCUGCAGCAACUGGUGGCACGUCAGCAUUUGGAGAUGCUCAGCAGCUAAGUCCAUGGAAUUAGAAGCUAUGAACUAACAUGAUUUGAUAUUUUGGCUCUGUUUCUGCAACUUCAGUCUUGUUGAUCAGGCAUACUGAGCUUACAUAGGUGUAUCCUCCUUUGCUCAGUGUUUUUACCCAUGCCAAUUGAAUGUUGGCACCUUUUAAAAUGUUCCAUUUAUGGGUCUUUCCAUUGUUUGGAAGGUCUCAAGUUGAAGAUGACCAGAAUCCAAGCAGUACCAGAAAUUAUUUUUUUUUUAAAUCAUUGUAAAUGUAGCUUUGUCCAUUCAUUGCUAGUUAUGUGUUGUUCUUUGCAAUAUCUUAAAUUGAAAACGUUGAAUAUCCUCACAAAUUUAAGCUGUAGAAUUGUUGAAAAAAACGGAAUCACAGGGACUGAAUCAAGCAUUGUAGCGUUGAGAUUGUAUGUAGUUAAAAGACAUCUGAAGAAUACGAUUAUUUUGUUGGAGAUAA